Molecule: RNA transcript, 257 nt
Organism: Otolemur garnettii (small-eared galago)
Lineage: Eukaryota; Metazoa; Chordata; Mammalia; Primates; Galagidae
Gene name: thymosin beta-4 pseudogene
Exons: 1
Source: RefSeq, a predicted model, not a curated record
GCUCCGCUUCCUCUGUGACCAUGUCUGACAAACCUGAUAUGGCUGAGAUGGAGAAAUUCGGUAAGUCGAAAUUGAAGAAGACAGAAAUGCAAGAGAAAAAUCCACUGCCUUCCAAAGAAACGAUCGAACAGGAGAAGCAAGCAGGCAAGUCCUAAUGAGAUGAGCACCACCAAUAUGCACUGUGCAUUCCACAAGCAUUGCCUUCUUAAUUUACUUCUUUUAGUUGUUCAACUUUGUAAGACGCAAAGAGGCUGGAU